UGGGGAAUAUUGGACAAUGGGCGAAAGCCUGAUCCAGCCAUGCCGCGUGUGUGAAGAAGGUCUUCGGAUUGUAAAGCACUUUAAGUUGGGAGGAAGGGCAGUAAAUUAAUACUUUGCCGUUUUGACGUUACCGACAGAAUAAGCACCGGCUAACUCUGUGCCAGCAGCCGCGGUAAUACAGAGGGUGCAAGCGUUAAUCGGAAUUACUGGGCGUAAAGCGCGCGUAGGUGGUUCGUUAAGUUGGAUGUGAAAUCCCCGGGCUCAACCUGGGAACUGCAUUCAAAACUGACGAGCUAGAGUAUGGUAGAGGGUGGUGGAAUUUCCUGUGUAGCGGUGAAAUGCGUAGAUAUAGGAAGGAACACCAGUGGCGAAGGCGACCACCUGGACUGAUACUGACACUGAGGUGCGAAAGCGUGGGGAGCAAAACAG
This 429-nucleotide ribosomal RNA is filed under the name uncultured bacterium. RNAcentral describes it as "partial 16S ribosomal RNA". It matches the Rfam family "Bacterial small subunit ribosomal RNA", at positions 355 to 776 of the family's 1533-position model. The record is from RNAcentral.